RNAcentral lists this ribosomal RNA (460 nucleotides) under uncultured bacterium. RNAcentral describes it as "partial 16S ribosomal RNA". It matches the Rfam family "Bacterial small subunit ribosomal RNA", at positions 338 to 795 of the family's 1533-position model. The record is from RNAcentral.
CCUACGGGUGACAGCAGUGAGGAAUAUUGGUCAAUGGACGAGAGUCUGAACCAGCCAAGUAGCGUGAAGGAUGACUGCCCUAUGGGUUGUAAACUUCUUUUAUAUGGGAAUAAAACGUUCCACGUGUGGGAUUUUGUAUGUACCAUAUGAAUAAGGAUCGGCUAACUCCGUGCCAGCAGCCGCGGUAAUACGGAGGAUCCGAGCGUUAUCCGGAUUUAUUGGGUUUAAAGGGAGCGUAGGGGGAUUGUUAAGUCAGUUGUGAAAGUUUGCGGCUCAACCGUAAAAGUGCAGUUGAAACUGGCAGUCUUGAGUACAGUAGAGGUAGGCGGAAUUCGUGGUGUAGCGGUGAAAUGCUUAGAUAUCACGAAGAACUCCGAUUGCGAAGGCAGUUCACUGGACUGCAACUGACACUGAGGCUCGAAAGUGUGGGUAUCAAACAGGAUUAGAUACCCUUGUAGUC